CUGACUUUACUGAGAUAUUUAAGAAAAUGAGUUUAUUCGAAGAUUUAGCGAUCACAUUGCUGUUUGUCCUGAUGUCUGUCUGUUUAUCUGUUCCUCUCCUUCUCCUUCCUCAAUUACAGAAUAUAUUACCAAAACAGAUUCGAAAGAUCGAAGAAGAUAUUCAAAAACCCAGUAAGAAAUCAGUUGAUAUUCAAGACACCAGGAAGAAAUCAGUUGAUAAUCAAGACACCAGAAGGAAAUCAGUUGAUAUUCAAGACACCCGUAGGAAAUCAGUAGAUAUUCAAGACAUCAGUAGGAAAUCAGUUUGUAUUCAAGACACCAUCAGGAAAUCAGUUGAUAUUCAAGACACCAGUAGGAAAUCAGUUGAUAUUAAAGACACCAGUAGGAAAUCAAUAGAUAUUCAAGACACCAGCAGGAAAUCAGUUGAUAUUCAAGACACCAGUAGGAAAUCAGUUGAUAUUCAAGACCCAAGCAGGAAAUCAGUAGAUAAUCAAGACCGAAGCAGGAAAUCAGUUGAUAUUCAAGACAUCAGUAGGAAAUCAGUAGAUAUUCACGACACCAGCAGGAAAUCAGUAGAUAUUCAAGACUCAAGCAGGAAAUCAGUUGAUGUUCAGAAAAAUAUUUCAAAACUAAAAUCAGACAAAAAACUAAAUCCCACAUCUGCAGCUUUCGAAAAUUUAAGACCUAUACUUUGCAAGAAAUCAGAAGAAAUAAGAAAAGCUGAUGCAGAGACUGACAAAAACCAUGAAUUUUGGCUGGUGGAUAAAGACAUAAUAAAAAAACAGUUUGGAAACCAUUUCCAAAAAAGAGGUAUAAAUCACCCGGAAAUAAAUGAAAAAGUUUUCCAUUCAAAACAGAAAAGAAGAUGUUCCGAACCCAACACCUUGAUCAAUACAGAGAACAGAAAAGUUAUAAAAGUAAUAAAUUUUGUUGCAAUCACACUUGGCGAAGCUGCAUCUAAACCCUCAAUUACACCUGCUAGAUCAGCACAGAAUACCUUCAAAUCAAAACAUAUUGAUUUUCCACAGAAAAGAGAAUACAAGGAGAAUAGAAUAGACUUUCGGACAGAAGAGAAAAUGUUAAAGGUUAAUAAGAAAGAAGCUGAGAAUUUACCUAAACUUUCUCCACCUCCCCCACCUUUAUAUGAUCCUAAACCAGAAACCCAGGUUCAUGGAAAAUACAAACUUAGCUUGAGCAGCACUAAACUGAACACAUCCCACAAAUUGUCAAACCCUUAUAUUUCCCUCCCCUCCUCCCCCACCUUUAUAUUAUCCUAAACCAGAAACCCAGGUUCAUGGAAAAUACAAACUUAGCUUGAGCAGCACUAAACUGAACAAAUGCCACAAACUGUCAAACCCUUAUAUUUCCCUCCCUCCUCCCCCACCCCCUAUAUGAUCCUAAACCAGAAACCCAGGUUCAUGGAAAAUACAAACUUAGCUUGAGCAGCACUAAACUGAACACAUGCCACAAACUGUCCAAUCCUUAUAUUUCCCUCCCUCCUCCCCCACCUUUAUAUGAACCUAAACCAGAAACCCAGGUUCAUGGAAAAUACAAACUUAGCUUGAGCAGCACUAAACUGAACACAUGCCACAAACUGUCAAACCCUUAUAUUUCCCUCCCUCCUCCCCCACCUUUAUAUGAUCCUAAACCAGAAACCCAGAUGUCUCCUUCUAUCCAACCAGACAUCACAAAAGAAGAUCUCAACAAUACUUUGGAAGAUAAAAUAAAAGAUAUCAGCUGUUC
This 1743-nucleotide unclassified non-coding RNA is filed under the name Eurytemora carolleeae. Its description in RNAcentral is "uncharacterized LOC111716525". Lineage: Eukaryota; Metazoa; Arthropoda; Copepoda; Calanoida; Temoridae. The record is from RNAcentral.